Melopsittacus undulatus (budgerigar) is the source of this 6413-nucleotide RNA transcript. It is a transcript of the gene named adaptor related protein complex 1 subunit sigma 2, with no coding region annotated. The transcript has 7 exons. Lineage: Eukaryota; Metazoa; Chordata; Aves; Psittaciformes; Psittaculidae. The record is from RefSeq and is a predicted model, not a curated record.
UGAAGGGGUGGGCGCGUGCGUCCGCGUUGGGCUCGAGCUGGCGAAAUCUUUCCUUCCUUCAGUCCCGUUUGGCACCCGGGGUGGCAACACGAACAGCGGUAGCGGUCUGGAUAACGGUGCUUCUGUUUUCUCUUCUUUCUCCUUUUUCUCGUUCGUCCCUCCCAGGACACGAUGCAGUUUAUGUUGCUUUUUAGUCGCCAGGGGAAACUGAGACUCCAGAAGUGGUAUGUCCCAUUAUCUGACAAAGAAAAGAAGAAAAUCACAAGGGAACUUGUUCAAACAGUAUUAGCCCGCAAACCGAAAAUGUGCAGCUUCCUGGAAUGGAGAGACCUGAAGAUUGUCUACAAAAGAUAUGCAAGCCUCUAUUUCUGCUGUGCUAUUGAAGAUCAGGACAAUGAACUAAUAACUUUAGAAAUAAUUCAUCGCUACGUAGAACUCCUUGACAAGUAUUUUGGCAGCGUAUGUGAACUUGAUAUCAUCUUCAAUUUUGAAAAAGCCUAUUUCAUUCUGGAUGAGUUCCUUUUAGGAGGGGAGGUUCAGGAGACUUCCAAGAAAAAUGUUCUCAAAGCCAUUGAACAGGCAGAUCUUUUACAGGAGAGCCAGAAUGAAGACUGGGGAGGUUUGUCUGAGGAUAUCUUAUGAUUAAGAGCAAUCUAAGGCAUUAGCCCUUUUGACCCCCAUCUAAAUGAUUGCAUAAGCGGAAUGCAUUGUGGCAGUCCUUUUAAUGAAGCCACGUCAUGAAUACUUUAAUGUCCCAGUGUACUAAAUGGCUUCAUUCAUCAUGCAUGCAGAAUUUCAGAGGAGAUAGACCUGUGACUUACUCAUGACAGGACAUUAUCAUCAGCUUGGUGAAUCCAGUCAUCUUGAAUCUAACAGAAUGCCACAACCAUUCUCUGCUGUUGUACUUUCCUCUUCCCCUUCUGUUUUACAGUGUUGUCUCUUCACAUGUCUCCUUUCAACAGAACUUGUGCUUGUUGGCAUAUGGUUUUAACUUUUUUUGUGUGUAAGCUUGAAGUCUUAUGCUUAAAAGUUCUGUAGAAUUUUCUGAGCUAAAUAUCUGUAUACUGCAACACUUAUACUGUAACAUUACUUGACCUGCGUUUAUCUUGCAAAUAAGUUGUGGUGGUAUUUAAACAUACUCUUAAAACCUGUAGAUGAAGUUAAUAUUUACAGAGAAACUAACGAAGUAGUAGUAUGCAAACUGUGUAUACACACAAGUGUUAAAUGAUGUUACAAUUCUACAUAGUCCUUGCACCUUAAUUAAAGGUGCACACAGCAAUAUAUUUAAUGAGACCUCCUUAUAAGGAGGAAGGCAGAACUGAUACGGGCAAAAAGAACGACAGGUAAAUCUGAUGUUGCAAAAUUUGUAUUUAAUUGUUCAGUCUUGUGAGUAGUUGAACAAUUCCUGCUACUGAAGGAGAGAAAAAGCUCAUUGCUUCACAAAUGGCUAGGGUUGUAAAGAUUAUUUUUUUAAGUCCAUUUACAGCAUACUUGAAAAAUGUCACCUUCAAUUGGCAUUUCCAGUUUUAAGUGCAGACUACCUUGUAUAUCAGAGAACUGCCACAAGGAUGAAUAUAAGUGCCAUUCAAUUAAAAAGUAAGGGCAGAGAGAGAGGGCAUGUAUUGACCCUCUGUUUGCCUAGAAGAGAAGAAUAAUUUGUAAGCUAAAACCAGUGCUGGUUUUGAAAAUUGUUUAAAUGUAAUUAGCAAGAAAUUGGUUACCGAGAUUAACCACAAACAGCUAGUUGCAUGUACUAUAUGUGGUAACACGUUACCUUUUAAAUGUUAAACUGACAGAGAAAUGGGAGAUUUAGGGGAUUAGACAAAAGAUCUGGAUUGGAUUUGCAGCAUUCUGAAGUCUUAAAAACCAAAAUCAUAGGAGUGGCUUUCCACUUACAAGCUUGCCUUUUUUUCUGUAAGACAUUAACAAUGUGUUUGAAUGUCUGGUUAAUGCUGCUUUAGCCUGCAUUAUUUCAUGCCUGUUGGCUUAAAAUGCUGUGCAUUGAGCUGUAAUGAGAUGCUGUUUUUCUUGUUAUCUGUAUACAGCUGCUUGCUUCUAAAUGACUAGGUAAUGAAUUAGCUUUCCUGGCAUGUUUGAAAUAAAGUAUUGCAUGCACUUUUGUCUCAUGUGAAUGACUUUUUUCCUCAUCUGUGUUCUGAUAUAUUUCAAAUUUGCAUUGUUUGCCUGGGGUGAUUCUGAGCUGCAGGUAGUGUAUAAUACCACAGAAUGCUUUCCAUAACAAUUGGCUAAAAUGUUUGACACUCCCUAAAACAAAUAACAUGAACAAAACAUAAUUCAUCCUACUUGUUUCUUAAAAUUUAUAAUUGAUGAAAUAAUUCCUCUAACAAAACAGAUUCGCCUUUAGGUGUUCCUUGAGAUUGUAUUGUUGCUGUGUGAAUAAGAAGGCAUGUCUGCCUCAAGGUUACUGCUGUAGUAUUAAAAAAUGUAAAUCUCACCGAGUUUUAGGUUGAGAGACCUGUGGGCAAGUAGCCAAUAUACUUGAAAUACAUUAUUUUAAGUUCAUUGUUAGCCAAUUACCUUGAUGUUCUUGAAGAAAUGUAAUCUUUAAGUGUAUGCCUGCUGAAAAUUACCCACAACUCUGAAUUGGCAGUGGAGACAAUAAUACUGAAUUGCUCUAAAGACAAUAGCAGCAGUGCGCUGUGUUUCUUCAUAGCUAUGGAGCAACUCCUCAGGUCAUUUAGUAAAUAUGUCUUACCACUGAGUAACUAAGUAUCCACUGCUGCCUAGUCAAUUUAAAAUUGUGAAGUUGUUUUAGUACAAAUGUUCUCAAGACCCUGAAAUGCCUGAAAAGUUACUUUGUUGUCACUUCUGUUGCCAUACUUAAGAAUGUAGUAUUUUGGGUUUGGUUUUGAGUAAAAUAUUUUAAGUUGGUGGAUAGGGGACAUGCAUGUCCUCUAAAAUGAAUGCAACAGAGUAAUCUGGUAAUAGAAUAUGACAGGUUAUAUUAAAAACACUACAAAGCCUGUUCUUCAAUCAGUAUCUCUUUUGGGGUAUUUGUGUUAAAAUACACAUGUAAAUCUUUAAUCCUGCCUUUCUCCCUGGCUUUGUAAAGGUCAUUGUAGUUCUAAGAAUAUGUAAAUAUUGCAUCAGUGAGAAAAACCACAUCAUUAAUAUAAGAUACAAGUACCUUGUUUCCAGUUUUAAAUUUUGUUUUUCUUGCUAUUUCUAAUUUGCUGCUGGUUUUUGGAAGCCAUCUCAAAGUAUCCAGAGGUGGCCUGUUCCAGGCACUGACUGACUUUUAAAUGAAGUUGCCUUUAAAGUAUGGCUUGUUCUUUCAACCCUAUACAUGAACUGAAUGAGGAUUGUGAACUUGAUCAUUUUGUGCUCCAGUCAGGGUUGAUAAAGAUGAUGUUCUGGUGUUAUUUGCAAGAUCUAAGACAUUUAAUUAUAUAUUUUGCUGACAAUGUUUACCUACUAUUUAGAAAGCAGUUGAAAAAUAAUUUGCUGCCUUAACAGUUAUCUGCCUUUUUUUUUUCUGCUUCAUGACAUGUCUUGGUUUAGGAUGCUAAAGUAAGUUUAUUCAGACUGUGGAUACUAAAUCUGUUUGUUUCCAUAAGGACACAGUAUCCCUUUUUGAUAUUGUUAAUAAUUAUGGAAAAGCACAGCCUAAAUAUUUCUGAUUAAACUACUAUUUUUUAUUCAGAUGCUAUAGGAAUAAUGACUACAACACUGAUGAUAACCCUUUGCAAUGUUGUAUUAAAAAACUUGCUCUGAAUCUAAACAAAGCUAUUUAAGAUUAGAAUUAAUUUAAAACUUUAUACUUGGUGUGGAAUAAUACCGUUCCAAUCCUGGCAAUUCCUCCACUUCCACAGGGAUCAAUUUUUGGACACCAGCUGUACCAAGUACCUUGUCCUGGUCUUAUGAACUAUGUAUAGGAGCAGUGUAAAAAAACAAACAAACAAAAAACAAAAACAAAAAACCCAAAACAAAACAAAAAACAACCAGAAAACAAAAUCUGAUCCCCUAUGAAGAGCUUAAGGGAUACUGUGUCUUAGUUGCAUCAGUCAUUUCAUCCAUUUAUUCAUUGUUCCCUAACAGAUUUUUGAGACCCAUGAAACAAUUCACCACAAAAAUCAUUGAUUGCAUUGCAAGAUGCUUCCCCAUCUGUCCCCAGUUCAUGUCUUUGUUACUGGGUUGUGAUUUGUUCCCUGCUGGUACAUCUGAAUUGCUUCAGUUUUAUUGCACUUAAGGGCAAUAAAAUCUACCAGCAAUUCUUGUGAGCUCCAGCAAUCUGAUUAUCAGUACUUAGAAAAUUGCAGCUAAUCCUGUAUUUGCAGACUGCAAUACUUCUUUAUUUUCAUGCCUUUCAGCUUUUCUUCUUUAAUUAAGCAUUUUUCAUACUAACUCAACUCAUUUACUUUACUGUUCAACAGAAGUGCAGGGUCCAUUUACCACUGUCUCAUAUUUUCCCUCCAUAGGAAGCAGAGACCCCACGUAGUGUACUUGAAGAAAUUGGAUUGACAUAAAUCUUCACUUCAGCUGAUGACAUACUAAUGUUUCAUACUCUAAAUGUUCACUGCCUUCAUUGUAAUGUUUAGCUAAUCGUAUAAGAUGCUGUUUGUCAGUAUUACUGUUUUGCUAAGCUGCUUCAUUCCAGCCUACAAGAAAAAUACUCCUUUUUGAAAAGGGAACAAGAAAUUAAAAGUCCAGAAAUCAUAAAUGAAAGGGAAUUACAUUAAAAUUGACUCAGUGUCUCACGUCGCUGCAUUUAUAACAAAAUUGCAUUUGACUUCAAUAAGUGUACUGUUUUUUGUAAGCAAACUUGACUUCAGGAAAUAAGUGUAUCAUUAUGACAUAUCUAAAUGAAAAACUAUGAAAUGUUAUGGUGUAGAAAUUGUGUUUAUGCAACCAAAGACUUUUGUUCAUCUACAUUUCAGUCACCAAUUGUGAUAAUUCUAUUUCAGUUGAUGCAUAAAGACUGGAACUGCUGGUUUACUACUGAAUUUGUCAUUAUACCAAAGAAUCCUGUUAGGAUCUGCUUAUCUCACUGGUAAAAACUGUUAAGGUGAUAUGGCUUUUGCAAGAAAACUGCAAACUGAUCAACUCACUAGACAGGAAAUGUAGCUACUCUGAGCAAAACUGCACAUUUCUAUGCUAAAAAGGGAAUGUGUGAAUUUAGAAAAAAAAUAAAGGAAACUUUUUAAACUUAAAACCGUAUUAUUAGCUUGCUCUGCACAUACACACAAAAAAAGGAGGUAGGCUUUCUCACUCUAUAGAGGUGCAUUAUGAAAAUUAGAUAAUUUCGAAGAUGGGGAAGAAGGAGCUUUAUAAAAGUAACUUUUUAUUAUUUCCUUUCAGACUCUACAAAUUAACUUGUAUUUAUUGGUGGUUUAUAGUUAUGCUUUAAUGGGUGUAUAGGUAGCUUAAGAAAAACUAAAUCCCACAGUAAGUAUCAAUGUAAAUUUUAACUGCUUUUUUUAACUUACACCUUAAACUGUGACACAUCCCUUAUACCACUCCUGUGUGACAUACAGUUGAACCAACUAAUUUGCAGUAAGAGCUUUUAAAUACUAAGACUUGUACAGUAGAUUCACUGCAAUUUAUGGCAAAUGAUAGCAAGUAAUAUUUUGACACUUGGAGCAGCCAAGCAGUAGUUAUAAAUGAAACCUGUUUCACUUGCUCAAGGGAAUCAGAUUCAUGUAUGCUUUUGAGGUCAUGCGUCAUGCUUUGGACUAGCCAAAUUCUGCAGUGCAUCUGCAUGGUCUCUGAGAAGGGGGAGCUGCUUCCCCCUCUUCCUCCCUCCCCAGUAACUUUACUCUUAAAAGUCAACAUUUUGGCUUGUUUGCUUGAGUCAGUAGUGCCACAUUUUCACAAACCUUAGCUUUGGUGCUGUUGCUGGAAGCAGUCAUACACUGCUAGCAUAAGCAUUUACAUAGCCAUCUGGAGAUCCAGACUGGCAGCUUGAUGCCAUCUAGGUUAAAUUUAACGUGCUGGGCCUGGCACAGUGUUGCCAAAGGAAAGCCCUUGAUACAGAUCCCAGUAUAAAUAAAUGCAUGGGGCAGCAGAAGGGCAGUGCCAGGGUGGAGCAUGUGAACUCACAGCGGUGGAAUUUGUCUCCUUUGGCCCUUUCUGGGAUUUAAACAUAUGAAUUGCUGCAGACUGUUUCUGUUCUAGGGCACACCAAGGCAGUGGUUUGCAUUUCCCCAGUAUGACCUGCAGGGGUAGGCAAGGGGAAAGUGAUAGCAGAAUGACCCAUGUGUGAGCUUGAAGUGCUAGAAUUACCUUAAAUCAAAUCUGAAGCGAUUUUUGUAUGUAUUAAACAUGUUUUUAAUGUUUACACUGUCACUUGUAUGUGCUUGGCUGGAUUAAGCUCUGUUGUGGUUGUGACAAACUGUUUGAUCUCUGUCUGUCAUAUUGGUUUAGUUGUAAUAAAUGUCCAUUUUUACACCAUU